UACGUAGGGGGCAAGCGUUGUCCGGAUUCAUUGGGCGUAAAGAGCGUGUAGGCGGUCGUGCAAGUCGCGUGUGAAAGCCCCCGGCUCAACUGGGGAGGGUCACGCGAUACUGCUCGACUUGAAGGCAGGAGAGGGAAGUGGAAUUCCCGGUGUAGUGGUGAAAUGCGUAGAUAUCGGGAGGAACACCAGUGGCGAAGGCGACUUCCUGGCCUGUUCUUGACGCUGAGGCGCGAAAGCUAGGGUAGCAAACGGG
Molecule: ribosomal RNA, 253 nt
Filed under: uncultured bacterium
Lineage: Bacteria
Description: partial 16S ribosomal RNA
Rfam family: Bacterial small subunit ribosomal RNA
Source: RNAcentral